RNAcentral lists this ribosomal RNA (165 nucleotides) under uncultured bacterium. RNAcentral's name for it is "partial 16S rRNA". It matches the Rfam family "Bacterial small subunit ribosomal RNA", at positions 355 to 511 of the family's 1533-position model. The record is from RNAcentral.
UAGGGAAUCUUCCACAAUGGGCGAAAGCCUGAUGGAGCAACGCCGCGUGUGUGAUAGAAGGGUUUCGGCUCGUAAAACACUGUUGUAAGAGAAGAAUGACAUUGAGAGUAACUGUUCAAUGUGUGACGGUAUCUUACCAGAAAGGAACGGCUAAAUACGUGCCAG